UACGUAGGGGGCAAGCGUUGUCCGGAAUGACUGGGCGUAAAGGGUACGUAGGCGGCUAGGUAAGUCAGAUGUGAAAGGCAUGGGCUCAACCCAUGUAAGCAUUUGAAACUGCUUAGCUUGAGUUAAGGAGAGGAAAGUGGAAUUCCUGGUGUAGCGGUGAAAUGCGUAGAUAUCAGGAGGAAUAUCAGUGGCGAAGGCGACUUUCUGGACUUAUACUGACGCUGAGGUACGAAAGCGUGGGGAGCAAACAGGAUUAGAAACCCCCGUAGUCC
This 272-nucleotide ribosomal RNA is filed under the name uncultured bacterium. RNAcentral describes it as "partial 16S ribosomal RNA". It matches the Rfam family "Bacterial small subunit ribosomal RNA", at positions 524 to 796 of the family's 1533-position model. The record is from RNAcentral.